This 397-nucleotide ribosomal RNA is filed under the name uncultured Planctomycetota bacterium. Its description in RNAcentral is "bacterial SSU rRNA". It matches the Rfam family "Bacterial small subunit ribosomal RNA", at positions 383 to 788 of the family's 1533-position model. Lineage: Bacteria; Pseudomonadati; Planctomycetota. The record is from RNAcentral.
CUGACCGAGCGACGCCGCGUGUGCGACGAAGGCCUUCGGGUUGUAAAGCACUGUCGAGGGGGAGAAAAGCCGCAAGGCGUGAUCUAUCCCUGGAGGAAGCACGGGCUAAGUUCGUGCCAGCAGCCGCGGUAAGACGAACCGUGCGAACGUUGUUCGGAAUCACUGGGCUUAAAGGGCGCGUAGGCGGGCUGCCGCGUCCGGGGUGAAAUCCCACGGCUCAACCGUGGAACGGCCUCGGAUACGGGCGGCCUCGAGGGGGGUAGGGGCAUCUGGAACUGUGAGUGGAGCGGUGAAAUGCGUUGAUAUUCACAGGAACUCCGGUGGCGAAGGCGAGGUGCUGGACCCCUUCUGACGCUGAGGCGCGAAAGCCAGGGGAGCGAACGGGAUUAGAUACCCC